Molecule: ribosomal RNA, 253 nt
Filed under: uncultured bacterium
Lineage: Bacteria
Description: partial 16S ribosomal RNA
Rfam family: Bacterial small subunit ribosomal RNA
Source: RNAcentral
UACGAAGGGGGCUAGCGUUGUUCGGAAUUACUGGGCGUAAAGCGCGCGCAGGCGGCUAUCCAAGUCAGUGGUGAAAUCCUGGAGCUCAACUCCAGAACUGCCUUUGAUACUGAGGAUCUUGAGUUCGGGAGAGGUGAGUGGAACUGCGAGUGUAGAGGUGAAAUUCGUAGAUAUUCGCAAGAACACCAGUGGCGAAGGCGGCCCGCUGGGCAGUGGCUGACGCUGAGGCGCGACAGCGUGGGGAGCAAACAGG